RNAcentral lists this long non-coding RNA (202 nucleotides) under Malus domestica (apple). Its description in RNAcentral is "long non-coding RNA (MDOM_LNC012523)". Lineage: Eukaryota; Viridiplantae; Streptophyta; Magnoliopsida; Rosales; Rosaceae. The record is from RNAcentral.
GAACUUCCGAACCAACUUCAUGACAAACUGAUACGCAGCGGACAAACGGAUGAACAAAUUGAUACCCAUCUAGAACAGAUUAAAUUCCGAAGAAUUGAAUCUGUUCUGAUACCAAGUUGAACAUCAGAAUGCGCAACGAACAAGACUAACAAAAUAAUAAUAUUAUUAAAUUAACUGAGAAUGCCGAAACGGCUACAAAACC